Long non-coding RNA from Brassica rapa (field mustard), 1286 nucleotides. RefSeq lists it as uncharacterized. The record is from RefSeq and is a predicted model, not a curated record. Lineage: Eukaryota; Viridiplantae; Streptophyta; Magnoliopsida; Brassicales; Brassicaceae.
UCAGGGAUAUACAGGAAGGUUCAACUGAAGCCGCUGAAGUGGGAUGGUGAAGGCGAAGAAGAAAGACCUGUAGAGGCCCUUAUGAUUCUUAAAUACGGUGGUGUUCUAACUCACGCUGGUAGAAAACAAGUGUUUACAUACUCUACCAUUUAAUUUGUCAUUGUUAUAUAUAUAUAUAUAUAUAUAUAUAUUUUCUAAAUAUGGAAGAACUGUUUAACUUAUUGAUGUUUGCUUCAUCUGCAUGCAGGCAGAAGAGCUUGGUAGAUUUUUCCGAUACAAUAUGUAUCCAGGUGAAGGGACUGGUUUACUUCGUCUCCAUAGUACAUACCGUCAUGACCUUAAAAUUUACAGUUCUGACGAGGGACGUGUUCAGAUGUCUGCAGCUGCUUUUGCUAAAGGCAUGCUUGACCUAGAAGGACAGCUGAUGCCAAUUUUGGUUUUUCCUUCUUAAUAUUAUAUUGCUGGUGCUUAAUUUGCAAUAUCAUCAUGUGUUUACUAAUAAUGUCUUUUUAUCUUUCUUGCUUCUCAAGGUUUCUUUGGUUAGCAAGGACUCUUCCAUGUUGGAUGGUCUUGAUACUGCUAGCAUUGAAAUGGAAGCUGCCAAGGUUUGUCCCAUGACUUGAGUUAUUUUUUGAUGUGUGUGUAUCAGUCAAUCAACAAGAUUGAUUUCAUUUUAAUUGGACUAUAUAUGCAGGCUAGAUUGAAUGAGAUUGUAACAUCUGGCAAAAAAAUGCUCAAUGAAUUACUACUAUUUAUUAUUAUCAAAUCAUAGUAAUAAUUAUCAAAUUAAAUACGCAAAAGGCAAAAAAAAAGAGAGAGGCAUAACAUAAAAUAAGUUAGCAUAUUAAAUUGCAAAUAAGCCAAAAUAUUUCAAAGCAAUCAAACAACCUAAAAAUUAAUAAUCGAACAAACUAUCUUUUUUUAUUAUACCAGAUAUUAGUUCCACCAAUAAUCGUGGUCAACUUACCAACAUGGUGCAUAUAUGUCAAAUGGACAAAUCUACGUUUAAGUAACCCAACUUGUAAGGGAUUUAGAUUUUUUUGUGAAUCUCGUGGACUGAUCUAUCGCAGAUUGGGGUUCAUAGGUGAAGUUUCAAGAAAUUGUUAUAAUUUGAUUGGUCAAUUGUUUUUUAUUUUUAUUUAUUUAAUUUAGAUCUAAAAUUUUAAGAUAAAUCUAAAAUCAUUGAACAUCACUUGCCAUAUAAUCUAACGAAUAUUACAAAUAACAAUUUAUGGAAACUAUUCUCGAAAUUACAGAAAGAUUAAUAAUGUUUUAUUUAUUACUUU